UUGGCCUCGGAUCAGGCGGGACUACCCGCUGAACUUAAGCAUAC
Molecule: ribosomal RNA, 44 nt
Filed under: Parasympodiella eucalypti
Lineage: Eukaryota; Fungi; Ascomycota; Sordariomycetes; Coronophorales; Scortechiniaceae
Description: partial 28S ribosomal RNA
Source: RNAcentral